RNAcentral lists this long non-coding RNA (1640 nucleotides) under Ovis aries (sheep). RNAcentral describes it as "lncRNA (ENSOARG00000025487.1)". Lineage: Eukaryota; Metazoa; Chordata; Mammalia; Artiodactyla; Bovidae. The record is from RNAcentral.
AUGCCCGGCGCUGGGUCACCGUGCGCGUCCUCGGCAGGGAUCGUCCCUGCCAGGGGAUGGACGCACUGUCGGCUUCGGGUGAAGCCGCCUCUGCUGCAAGCUCCUUUCACACCUGUCCGUGCAGCAGGAGAGGGAACAAGCUGCGGGCACAGCAACCUGAAAGGGUGGGGAGAAGGCAAAGGAGGCCUGGAAACCCCCAGUUCUCGGCUUGGGGCAAAGAAGGUGGAAGGACCGGGGGGCAGGGAAGGUGGGGGUCCCGGGUGGGCCCGAGAGGAGGUAGGGGACACAGGGGCAGAGGGACAAGUGCCUGGACACACUGGAUCCUGGGCUGAGGCUGGGGGACAUGGGCGGAAGUGCCCUGUGCAGGCAGAGACCAGCAGGCCCGGUGGCUUUCUGGAGGAGGGUCUUCACUUUGGGCAGGGAGAAGGUUUGGAGGAGUCAGAGGAGGGUUCUGGGGGGCAGGGAGCAGGCUGUGCGAGUGGGGCCUCUCGUCAGGGCAUGGGAAGGCGUGAACAUCUGUGGCCCACCGCUCAGGCUGUGUGCAGAGCAGGCAAGUGUCAGGAAGGCAGUCCUCCCCAGCCAGCACUCACUACAGCAGCCACUCGCCUCAGCCGUUUUGCUCAGAUCAGGAAUGGGUCCACACCCAGGGAUGAGGUGCACUUGUUCCAAGCCAGCUUGAUGGGUUUCUUGACAGACUGUCUCCUGGCCAGGAGUGGCCUGAGACUCAUGCUGAGCUGACGACACCUGCUUUCCCGAGAAGAAGGGCCUGCGCAGCUAGCAUGACACCUUGAAUGUGGACUUGAUGGCUGGACCUGCUGCAGCCAUCCUGCAACCAUGAGGCAAAGACCUGGCCCUGACACCCACCCCUGAGCCGCUGAACCAAGCUAGGUGCCAGGUCCUCCCUACUUCUUGUGAGGUGAGGAAGAAGACCUUCUGUGUCAAGCCACAGCAGUUGGAGGCUUUUCUUUUCCUCCUUCCCCUGAAGGUAUUUCUGAAUAGUAUGUAAACACGCAUUAAAAGUCAUGGUCAAAUAAAGCUAGUAUAGCAGCCGGUGCCCAGCCCGGGUUUGUCCUAGCACCUGGGACCCUGUGAUACACCUGUGCUAGUUCCAGCUUGCUUGCUUAGUUUCUUUUAAACUGCAAAAGUAAUCCAGCUUGAAAAACUUUCAAACCGUAAAACAUUGUCUAAAGUGAACAUUAAAAAUUACACCCAGGAGCGUGCACGCCUUUAUGCGCACGUGUCUCCUGCCAAGGCCUCCAGCCGUGCUGUUCACCAGCCUCCGGCAGCCCGCCCCCCCGGCCCUNNNNNNNNNNNCUCGCUGGGGCCCCCGGGCCUGCCGUGCCCCGAGAGUGGGGAGCCCGGGGCCCUGAGGAUUGGCCGCUUCCCAGACGGUCCUUCUCAGGAGCUGCCAGAGCAGAGUGUCCAGUUGCCCCGGGCUGGGGCACUCAGCCGCGCCUUCUUCCUACAGGCCCUGCGGGGUCAGGCCGAGGCCAGCCUCUCCACGGACGCCUCCUGGCCCACCGGCCUCACACUCCUGUCCUGUGUCGGUCCCAGAGCCAGCAGCCCACUCCAGGACCCCAGACCGUCCUCUGAACAGACGCACUCAGGCCCGCCCCACCACCCACGGUUCCCCUGCCGCC